AUACGGAGGGUGCAAGCGUUAUUCGGAAUCACUGGGCGUAAAGGACGCGUAGGCGGGUUGGCAAGUCAGAUGUGAAAUCCUACAGCUUAACUGUAGAACUGCAUUUGAAACUGCUAACCUAGAGUAUGGGAGGGGGAGAUGGAAUUAGUGGUGUAGGGGUAAAAUCCGUAGAUAUCACUAGGAAUACCGAAAGCGAAGGCGAUCUCCUGGAACAUAACUGACGCUAAGGCGUGAAAGCGUGGGGAGCAAGCAGGAUUAGAAACCCUAGUAGUCC
Molecule: ribosomal RNA, 274 nt
Filed under: uncultured bacterium
Lineage: Bacteria
Description: partial 16S ribosomal RNA
Rfam family: Bacterial small subunit ribosomal RNA
Source: RNAcentral